AUGAUCUCUACAUCCCUACUGCUGCUGCUGCUGGCAGCCGUACACUGUGUUCACUGUGUUGAGCUGAUCCAGACCGGAUCCACAGUAUUAACUCCUGGUCAGUCACUGACUCUGACCUGUAAAGUGUCUGGAUAUUCAUUAACUGAUAGCAGCUACUGGACACACUGGAUACGACAACCUGCCGGAAAAACUCUGGAGUGGAUCGGAUAUAUAACUCAUACUGGUGGCACUGUCUACAGUGAGAAACUGAAAAGCAGGUUUCAGGUUUCCAGAGACACGUCCAGCAGCACAGUGACAUUAACAGGACAGAACAUGCAGACUGAAGACACAGCUGUGUAUUACUGCGCUCGUGAUCCACAGUGAGACAAAUAAACAACAUCCCUGUACAAAAACUCCAAGUAAACUGAAACAGUGCUAGCUCCCAACAUUCUCCUUCAUUAAAAGAUAAUUAAUAAUGAUAACAAUUCUGAUUGCAGCACCAGAGCAUCAUGGACAAUUUGACAGUCGGUAUCUGAUUACAAACUGAAUUGAUUAGGCUCAUGUUCAUUUCACUCUGAUGCACAGCUAUCAAUAUCUGACAUUCACUCUGUGAGGAAAUCACACUUACAGCAAGGUUUUACAAAUCUUCAGACAGACUGACUGUUUGUUGAAUUCACUCCUUACACAGGAUUUUUACAUUAACAUAUCUGAACCUGUAUUACACAGUCAAUAGAAACAGUUUCAUGAAUGGUUUCUUAACACUGAGGUUUUUUUCACUUCCAAAAUUCUCCUUUAACUGCAUCUGAUGAGUUUUCCCAGAAAAUCACACACAUCCAUUUUCAUUUUUCAUCACAUUUAACAACUUCCUUAAUGAAAUAAUAAAUGAUUACAUAAAAAAUGAAAGAAAAUUAAAAAUUCCAAACAUUUGAACAGUUGUGCAAAUUUUGUUCCAUUUUUUUAUUAACAGUCAACUGAAAAGUUUACUCAAUCUUUGAACUGUAUACUGUAUAUUUAACCUGCACACACAUUAGAAAUGUUUGAACAUUAUACUUUUUGUUAAGAUUUAAGGCCUGUGAUGGUUGUUUUUUCUUUAUUCACACAACAUCUA
This is a non-coding RNA of Hemibagrus wyckioides, 1087 nucleotides long. Lineage: Eukaryota; Metazoa; Chordata; Actinopteri; Siluriformes; Bagridae. The record is from the annotation of a RefSeq genome assembly.